ACUGGGAAGCCACCUUCUCCUGUGCAGGAAAAGGAAAGGAGCUGACAGACUCAACACAACAAGCUUCUCUGACCAGCAACAGCAUGGGAGGACUAAAAACCCAGGUGAGCAAUUGGCUAGCAAACUUCCACUUUAUAGAUACCCAGUCCAGGGAGAAAUAUUUAAGGCCAACUACUGAAGAAGACACUGAUAAACACACAGUAGCUGAGCCAUACUGGAGCAGUGGAUUUACACACAUACUCAAGCACUUUCCUAAAUAGAGAUGUUGCCUUAAAGCAUAAACCUGUUCACUAACUGAGACAAGAUGUGU
This 310-nucleotide long non-coding RNA is filed under the name Anas platyrhynchos platyrhynchos (common mallard). RNAcentral's name for it is "lncRNA (ENSAPLG00000026372.1)". Lineage: Eukaryota; Metazoa; Chordata; Aves; Anseriformes; Anatidae. The record is from RNAcentral.